RNAcentral lists this unclassified non-coding RNA (5423 nucleotides) under Haliotis rubra (blacklip abalone). RNAcentral's name for it is "mTOR-associated protein MEAK7-like, transcript variant X1". Lineage: Eukaryota; Metazoa; Mollusca; Gastropoda; Lepetellida; Haliotidae. The record is from RNAcentral.
UACCUCACGAGGGAAAUAUGACAAGCUGACUAUACCGUAGUCGUGGAAAAGGCUACAAUUAAAAAAUGGGGGCUUCCCAAAGUUCAGAUAGCGAGGGAUCUGAUGUUCAUUUCACAGAUGAAGAGAAGGAUAUUAUUUCCCAAAUGUUUACAAAGAUAUCCCAUGGGAAAAAGACAAUUUCCAAAGAACAGCUUGAGUCUUACACAGGUCCUGUCCUAGGACAAGAGAUGAGCCACAGUAUAUUCUGUGUUAUGGAGUUGUCAGAAAAACGGCAUCAGCCUGAUGGUGGCAUCAGUCUACAACAGUUCCUGCAGUGUCUGUCCCGUCUGCUGCGAGGCAGCGUGACAGAGAGGUCAACUAUCCUUCUGUAUCUAGCAACAGGGGGCAAGUCUGAAGCAACACCUCAACAACUAAUUAAGUGUGUGACUAUGCUGAUAUACAGUUUUGCAAGGAUUGCAGAGAAACAUGUUGAGUAUAAAAGUUGGGUGCUACAUCGGAGUGAAGAAGCCUUCUCUCGUCUUGCCCUCUGUCUUUUGGAAGAUCUCUUCCAUGCAGGUCCUGACAAAGACCGUGGCAUGGGAGUUCCCGUGGUACCAGACAACACUACCUUCAAUCAGAGUCAGAUAGAAGACUGUAUUUCAAAAUCACAGCUAUUUCUCCAGAUGUUUGAGCAGAUAUUCUCAGGAUGCUUUCAUGUAGUUUCAAAGGAUGAAGAAGUAGCCCAUCAUCUGACCCCACGGGUGCCAGUGGCCGGCUGUAUCAACUGGGCCAAGGUCAAGAGCAUCCUAGACUUCCCCUCCCUCAUCUUCCUCAACUCUGUGCUCCCCCCUGACAAGCAGAUGGAGUGGCGCUUCCUCUACUCCAACCUUGUGUUCGGGGACAGCUUCACGCAGCUGGUGCAGAAGAUAACAAGGCAGGGGCCCACUGUAGUCAUCGUCCGAGACAAGGAUGGGAAUGUGUUUGGGGGCUAUGCAAGUCAGGACUUGGAAUUUAACCCCAAGUUUACAGGUGAUGCUCAGUGUGCAUUGUUCAGCCUGAAGCCGCACUAUGGGGUUUAUACUACCACUGGAUACAACGACCACUACGUGUACUUCAACAACCACGUCCAGACUCUGCCCAAUGGGUUGGGUAUGGGAGGACAGUUUGACUACUUCGGUCUGUGGAUCGACCACACGUUCAACAACGGACACAGCAAGGCUGGGCCGCGAUGUACCACGUACGGCAGCCCACAGCUGUCGGGGAAGCCUGACUUUGAGGUGGACGUUAUUGAAGUGUGGGCGGUGGGACCGGAGAAGAAGAUAGAUGAUGAUGACAUCACAGACGAGUCAAGAAAGAAGAAGAGCAUCCUGGAUAAGGACCCCGAGGCUCAGGCCAUGUUGACGCUGAUCGGGAAGGGGCCUGUCAGCGAGGGUCUGCGAGAGGAAGAUGACACAGCAGGCAAUCCAGAACACAGCAAAGUCGUGUCGCUGUUCUAGAGGGAAUUACUAAUAUGGAGGGCUGUAAGGGGCUGACAAUUAUUCCUUUCUAGAUAUCCCGAAAAUUAAUUUGUGGGUCUAUAAAACUCUUUGGCUCAUCAUUUCAGAGAACAAAAUUGUUAUGAAUACACAAUGCCAUAUAGAAAGUGGUCAAUUGUAAAACAACAUGUAAUCCCAAGUAUAAUGUGUAACAAAUUUGUUAGGAAGUGCUGACUGAAACCGUAUUCUCUUCAUAAUAAACAAAAGUCUUUCCCCUUCUCCCUCUAAAGUAAUAUGGUAGUAUGGUAAUAUGGUUACUUGUGCAAUGUGUACAGGCUGUGACCACAUAGGUACAUGUGAGGAUGAAAUGUAUUCAGUGUUCAUUCAGGAUGUAGUGUGCUCCGCUUCAUACCACUCCCUUGUUUCCAUAGUGACAACACACUGGAUUAUGUGGUUCUUACAUAUCCUAAUACUGGUAUCAUUAACUGUUGAUACACAAUGAUACAUUGCAGUAUUGUUUGGAGUGAACAUUCAUGGGUCAGUUAGUAUCAUUUGUAUGUAUCAAGCACAGAACCCUUUAGGAUUUAUGGUUCUGUCAGAGUGAUUAUCAGGCUGUGAAGAUGUGAAAAACACCCUCAAUCUAGAUUUCGUUUUCCACAUUCCUGGAAGUUAUUUUCAACAAAUAUGUAAACCAAAUAAUGUGAAGAUAGAAAGAUAUGAUAGAUGAUAAUUAUAACACAGAUUUUUUUGUCUAAAAACAACUUUGAUAAGACUUAGAUAAACUAAUACAAUAAAAUAUGGUUAUGACAAACUUAAAGGGACCACUAGUUGUUUGUUAGUUUGUAAUAACGGUAUUUUGUUAUGCACAUUUCAACUAAGAUCUACAGCAAAUGGCUGGGCAAGUGGCAUUAUGGUGAUGUUUGGCUGCUCGGGGUAUUAGUGGAGAUGUGCAUAGUGGUGUUAUCAUCUCAUGUUAUCAUAGACCAGGUAUAGUUGUAAGAAAAUGUUAUCAAUUAGAUUCACAUUACGAUAUCAAUGAUAGAGUAGACAACUCUGUAGAUACUGACAUGAAAUAGUGUGUGAGUGUAUCUUUGUUAGAGUUUCUUGACGACCAGCAUUGUACUCCUCAGUAUAACAUCCCAACUUUGUAUAAAGUAAACAGCUGUCAUCAUGUUUCUUCUUGGUUUCCUGACUAGUUUGUGAUAGUGUGUAUAUAGUGUAUAUAAUCACAGCAUCGCUUAUGUCAUAUAAUGUGUAUAAUGGUUCAAGAUUAUGAAUAUGAACAAAUCUUGUUCCACUAACCUCAACCCAACUUUUGUUCCACUGACCUCCACCCAACUCUUGUUUAUAAGAAUUCAAGAUUAUGAAUAUGAGCAUGUUAGCUUUACUUUUAAAAACCUGUUGUUUUGUAUGAUACUAGAGUGAUGUGGAAGGUUGCUGUUCGCUAUUUGUCUGUCAUUUCACAGUGGAAGCCUUUACAAAGGCCCAGACCAUGUGUGCAGGGGUAUUUGUUGUCAAAUGUUAUGUUUGUUAAACUAUCUAAAUGUGCAGACUAUAGACGGAUAAAUAUAUUGAAUAAGAUUUCAAGUGAUUUGAUUGGCUAAUCAAGAUCUUUUUGUGUGUGUAUCUUUCUGUUAACUGAAACAAAAUGGAGCCACACUUGAUAACAGACUGGUGUUUCCUCAUUGGCUCAUAAUGGAAUAGGCAUGGCUUGUGUUGUAAUAUUGUGCUGAAUCAGUAGAAUAGUGUAUGUGAAAUUAUUACUGUUGACAUGUUUAUUAAUAACAACUGCAUUCAGUAUGCAUUUGCAUAAAUAGUAAAAUCAAAGCAUGGAUUUACACUGUAUACACACUUGUUUUUACCAUCAUAAAAACAUUGAAAUUAAUUCUUAACUAAACAACUCUGUGUAUGCUAUAUUGUUUAGAUCAAUAAAUACAUCAUUCUGAUUAUGUAGAUUGAUUUCAAAACUGAUAACUACCUAUUCCCUAGUGUGCACACUUACGUUCCUAACUUGAUCAAUGGAAAAAACAUGGCUGAAAUCCAUUCCAAAAUGGCUGCUAGCCUAAUACACUGUGAUUGUUGUCUUGCAUGAUGGUUGUAGUUAUGUGAAACUUUGUACCGGAGUGGUGAAUAACUGAAUCAGGCCACACUCUUUACAAAUGCCGGAUGUUAUUAUGUUGAGAUUUAUUAGUAACCUAUUAUCUUGGUUAUGUUAAAAUAAGAAUACCUAAUUUUCAGUAUUCUUAAUUUUUUGUUCUCAGGUGUAUUGUGGGGUGCAGUUGAAUUAUUAAGAAAAAUAAAUUAUUAUUAUGUUUAUUGUACAGGUUGUUUACUACUUUUUACAUUUUCCCUCUUUGUAGAGAAGGAUUUGUGAUAGAUUAAUUAUGACUAUGUAGGCUAUAUAUAGAAUACAUUACUGGUACCUGUAAUUAAUUAUUUUUCAAAAGUUAAUUUACAUGGGUUUUUUUACGUUUCUAUUGAUGUCAUCAAAGAUAGAACAGUCAGACAUUAGAAUUGAAUUAAGCUGAUAGAAGAUUUUUUUUAAAUCAUCAAACAAACAAAAUCCUACAUAUUACUUCUGUAAAUUUUGAUUAUAGUUAUGUGUGAUGGAAUCAAUGAAUGGAUCAAGUGUAUAUUUAUUUUGGUAAGUGUGAAUGGGUUUUGAUUAGCACUAUCUGCAGAAUGAUGUGUGUGAUAUAGCAUGAUGUGUAGGAAAUCCUAAAGUGAUACAGGUCUUGAAUAUAUACCACUUUUUCAAAACUUACCACCAUCCUGACAAACCCAGAAACAUAAUCCGGUCCCACCAGGGUUUUACCAUGAAUCAUAAGGUGUCGGUGCACCUAAGGGACACAACUCUGCAAAGUGAAUUUAGGCACUUUUGGAGACUACAUCAACGGGUUCUCUGUUUUAAAUAAUUUAGGGAAUAAUUUCUGAAUGUGAUGAAACACAUUUAGUUCAUGCCUGAUUCAAGUCCCAAACCAAAACAAUUUAGCUCCGAACAGUGAGGCUGACAAUGCACAUACUACCAGGGAGAAUAGAAGAUUAUCCCUAGUACUACACAGAGUAACUGCCUUCAGCCUUGUUUUUUUUUAUGAACAGCAAAUUAACCAUAGCUUGCUGAUUCAACUUAAGGAUUAGUUACUGAAUAAAAAUUGACUGCAAAAUUAGAUUGUAAGCCAGUGUUUAUCAAAAUUAUCAGAGUAUCAAAAUUUAUUAGACUGGGAUAUUUACAGGCUGUCAUGGAAUAUUGCCAUGUGUAGCAUUAAACAAUGAAAAACAGACUUGUAUCAUGCUCAACGAUAUAGUUAUGUAUGAUAAUUGAACACACAGAAACAGCUCCUUUAAACACAUUGACUGGAGGCAUUCUCUGUUACCCAGUGUAUUUCAUUUCCUUUCUAUAGUGAGAAACAUCAUGGAUCUGCAGCUCCAUUGUACAGAUGACAGCAAUCAUUACUCCUCUCUGGACGGACAUGUAGUAUCAAAAAUGAACAAAUUUUACAGAAAAGCACUUCCUGAAUUAUAUUCAUAAAUUAUUAUAAAAGAGCUCAGAGACUUUCUUCAUUUUCAGAACUGAAUCUGUGGUAAUCAAGACUUGACACAUAUUCUAGACUUGCAUUGGCUGUAUUUGGUAUAUUUAUUGCAGGGUCUGUAUGACAGACUAUCCUGUCUCUAGCAUAGCAGACAAUUUCUCUUUGUGGUGAUAAUAAUUUGUUUGUUUGGCUCAAACUAAACAUGUAGUAACGAAUGAGUUCAGAGUAUAUAUCAUAACAGAAUGGAGAUAGAAUGAACGGUGAGUAGGUCUUAUGCUUAGUACAUGCACAUGGCAAACUGUUUUGUGCAAGUUGCACAUGGUGAUUUGUGCAUAUUUCGUGCAUAUUUUAAGAAGGUACACCUGUAUGUGUUAUGAUCAAUUAAGAAUGUUUCAUGUAAUACACAAGCCAGAAAGAUUGAAAUAAAGAAUCACAUGUA